RNAcentral lists this unclassified non-coding RNA (236 nucleotides) under Puccinia horiana. Lineage: Eukaryota; Fungi; Basidiomycota; Pucciniomycetes; Pucciniales; Pucciniaceae. The record is from RNAcentral.
AUUAAAAGAACUAGAGUGCACUUUAUUGUGGCUUGACCCCUUUUAAAUAUAUCACCCAAACUAUUUUAACACUUGGUUGCAUGAAUUUUUGAAAGGUUCAUUGCAAUUGAGUAUAAGUAACUUCUUUUUACUAAGAAAUGUUACAUUACCCCCCCCCCCCCCCUUUAUUUUUUACCCCCUUUUUUAUUAUAUAACACAAGUUUAAAUGAAUGUAAAAAACCCUUUAAUUAUAAAAU